Molecule: long non-coding RNA, 275 nt
Filed under: Daucus carota (carrot)
Lineage: Eukaryota; Viridiplantae; Streptophyta; Magnoliopsida; Apiales; Apiaceae
Description: long non-coding RNA (DCAR_LNC005839)
Source: RNAcentral
GGUCACUCACCCCCACCGAGUUCACUCUGUCACUCACACCCGCCGAGUUCACCGAGUCGUUUUACCCCACCGAGUCGACUCAGUCAUUCACUCCUACCUGGUCGACUCAGUCAUUCACUCCCACCGAGUCGACUCAGUCGUUCUCUCCCACCUGGUCGACUCAGCCAUUCACUCCCACCGAGUCGACUCAGUCAUCCUUCAGCUUCCCCACCGAGUUAGGCACCAACUCAGUGAUGGGGUUUGGAAUUUCUCAGCCGCCAAGCUUUGGUGCAGCC